GAGUUUGAUCCUGGUUCAGGACGAACGCUGGCGGCGUGCUUAACACAUGCAAGUCGAACGAUGAUGCCCAGCUUGCUGGGUUGAUUAGUGGCGAACGGGUGAGUAACACGUGAGUAACCUGCCCUUGACUUCGGGAUAACUCCGGGAAACCGGGGCUAAUACCGGAUAUGAGCCGUCCUCGCAUGGGGGUGGUUGGAAAGUUUUUCGGUCAGGGAUGGGCUCGCGGCCUAUCAGCUUGUUGGUGGGGUGAUGGCCUACCAAGGCGACGACGGGUAGCCGGCCUGAGAGGGCGACCGGCCACGCUGGGACUGAGACACGGCCCAGACUCCUACGGGAGGCAGCAGUGGGGAAUAUUGCACAAUGGGCGAAAGCCUGAUGCAGCGACGCCGCGUGAGGGAUGAAGGCCUUCGGGUUGUAAAUCUCUUUCAGCAGGGAAGAAGCGCAAGUGACGGUACCUGCAGAAGAAGCGCCGGCUAACUACGUGCCAGCAGCCGCGGUAAUACGUAGGGCGCAAGCGUUGUCCGGAAUUAUUGGGCGUAAAGAGCUCGUAGGCGGUUUGUCGCGUCUG
RNAcentral lists this ribosomal RNA (568 nucleotides) under Cellulosimicrobium sp. MV1. RNAcentral's name for it is "bacterial SSU rRNA". It matches the Rfam family "Bacterial small subunit ribosomal RNA", at positions 9 to 591 of the family's 1533-position model. The record is from RNAcentral. Lineage: Bacteria; Bacillati; Actinomycetota; Actinomycetes; Micrococcales; Promicromonosporaceae.